RNAcentral lists this ribosomal RNA (253 nucleotides) under uncultured bacterium. Its description in RNAcentral is "partial 16S ribosomal RNA". It matches the Rfam family "Bacterial small subunit ribosomal RNA", at positions 524 to 776 of the family's 1533-position model. The record is from RNAcentral.
UACGUAGGGGGCAAGCGUUAUCCGGAUUUACUGGGUGUAAAGGGAGCGUAGACGGCGCUGCAAGUCUGAAGUGAAAGCCCGGGGCUCAACCCCGGGACUGCUUUGGAAACUGUUUAACUGGAGUGCUGGAGAGGUAAGCGGAAUUCCUAGUGUAGCGGUGAAAUGCGUAGAUAUUUGGAGGAACACCGGUGGCGAAGGCGGCUUACUGGACGACAACUGACGGUGAGGCGCGAAAGCGUGGGGAGCAAACAGG